ACAAAAGCUAUGAUAAGAAAUAGUAAGCAUCCUGGAUUUUCAGAGAGAGGGCGGCUGGUGCGAGCCCUUAAUGAAAGGAUGCCCAACCGGUCUUUGAGCUGUGGGCCGAAGUAAUAGUAAGCCUUGCCGGGUUCUCCCGUUACAGAGAUAUGGCAUCGGAUGAUUUCCUGUGCCGGAGAGUGCAGAUUCUAUCUGAAUGCAGGUGGUACCACGGACUUAUGUAUAGUUCGCCCUGGGU
Molecule: non-coding RNA, 238 nt
Filed under: Eubacterium sp.
Lineage: Bacteria; Bacillati; Bacillota; Clostridia; Eubacteriales; Eubacteriaceae
Description: T-box sequence
Rfam family: T-box leader
About the family: Uncharged tRNA acts as the effector for transcription antitermination of genes in the T-box leader family. T-boxes are found upstream of many aminoacyl-tRNA synthetase genes and some amino acid biosynthetic genes usually in Gram-positive bacteria. The anticodon of a specific tRNA base pairs to a specifier sequence within the T-box motif, and the NCCA acceptor tail of the tRNA base pairs to a conserved bulge in the T-box antiterminator hairpin.
Source: RNAcentral